This is a long non-coding RNA of Pieris rapae (cabbage white), 532 nucleotides long. RefSeq lists it as uncharacterized. The transcript is spliced from 4 exons. The record is from RefSeq and is a predicted model, not a curated record. Lineage: Eukaryota; Metazoa; Arthropoda; Insecta; Lepidoptera; Pieridae.
CAUUUUCAAAGCAAAUCUUCAGUAUCAUACAACACUAAGAAUAUUACCAAGUCCUUCGUAAUGAAGGUAUAUUCUUCAAUAUAGUCUCUGAUUCAUAAAAAAAUCGUUUCCUAAAUGAUUCGGCCAACUCCUUUCCGAUAUGAUAAUCCCACGAUCAGAAUUACAUCACUACAAAAUCAGGAUUUUAAUUUUUAUAUUGUUGAGUCAAGAUGUCUACACGCUACGCUCUUGGGAUCAAUAUUAUGAACAGAACAAUGGAGACAUCGAAGCAAUUCAAAAUACUAAUGAAGACUUUAGCGCUGUAAGUCCUGAUAAAAAAAAUACAGAAAAGAAAGUUUACAUAGCAGGCUCAGAUUAUAAACUAGACAAUAUAAUAAGCGAGAUGUUACACUAUAUAUGUGUUCAUGAAAUAGAAGUGUAUUUCUUUUCCUACAAAGAUGAAGAAUUCAGUUAUAUAAGAAGUUUAAAUUCAUCCUUAAGUGUUUUAAAACAUUUGUUAUCUAAAUAUCCCCAUUAUUUUUACAAGAAACUA